UAGGGUUAGGGUUAGGGUUUGAUGGGCCCUAGGGUUAGGGUUACCGUUACUUUUAUGGUUACAGGUAGGGUUAGGGUUAGAUCUCCCCCAGCUACCCUAAAGAGCCAUGGACUCAUUUCUGUCCUAAAGGAUCGACAGCUGGAAGCUGUCACCAGCACCACCUCACAUCUGGGCAGCAGGUCCUUCCCUGAAGAUGGCCCUGAGUAGCCCAUCUGUGGUCCUGCUGUUAGGGACAGAUCCUUCUGGCUGGUGGACUGGCCGGCUCCGAGGCAAGCAGGGUCUGUUCCCCAACAACUACGUGACCAAGAUCUGAGUUGCACAGAGACUGACGCACGGGCGAAGGCGCUCCAGGCACAGACAGGGAGGGGACAUUUGGGGCUCUCCUUCUGAUCUAUAAUGAUCAACUGCUUCACCACGGCCUGGAGUUAUUCUGGCACCUUCCCCAGGACAUUGAAAGGCUGGGUUGGGGAAAGGGUUGUCACUCCAUAAAUGAUCCUACAAGAUAGCCUAUUCACGAGAACCCAGGAGGGCAAAACAACCACCCACUAAGAUUUAUUUAUUCUAUUUAAACCUGGUGAGAGGACAGGCGGGGUCCACUCAGACCUUGUUGGCUCUAUCAGAACAGCGCCCCGCUCGCUCACCAGGCCCAGGGAAUGGCUGUGGGCGGCCGCUGACAAGUGCCUUUAAUUGAAGAGCACAUUUCUCUCAUCCCUCUUUUCCUUACCUGACACACCUUCCCUCUGCCCCCUCCCCUCUCUGCAGGCGUGAGUGGGCACCUCUGGUGCAAAUGCUAGGGGCGGGCAUGGCCUGCUGAGCCCAUGGGAGCAGAGGGGCGCUGGUUUACACUUCCUGGGACCAUCAGGCUGCGGGGCUGAGUGGGGCUGGGGGCUGGGCUGUCUGCCUUGCUUUCCUGGGUCUUCAGUGGGAAUGUGGCUGGCCCAUGUUGGUUUUGUGUUUAAUGCUGUACCUAUUACUAGAAGGGUCUUUUUUUUUUCAAGCUGUACAUUUAUAAAAACAGAUCAUAUACUGUAUAUAUAAAAAAAAAAAUCUCAAGAUGGUAGAAACAUGUAUGAAUGUACUAAGUAGUAUUCCACUGUACUUAUUCAUAAGGUAGGUUUUAUUACAAAACUCGCACCAGGUACUUACAGAUGUGCACUACUCCUUCCAACUAUAGAAUCAGUGUUACUGCUUUCUAGCUCCGCCCCCGCAAGGCCCUUCCAACCCUUCCCCUACAGGUGAUUUCCCCUGCCCCCCUCACCUCCUAAUAAAGGAAUCAGUGAACCCCCUU
This is a long non-coding RNA of Myotis lucifugus (little brown bat), 1288 nucleotides long. RefSeq lists it as uncharacterized. The transcript has 2 exons. The record is from RefSeq and is a predicted model, not a curated record. NCBI's taxonomy places the organism in Eukaryota, Metazoa, Chordata, Mammalia, Chiroptera, Vespertilionidae.